CUUUAAUAAUUCAAGCUAAGAAAGAAACUCUUUGAAGAUUCAAGAGUGAGUAGGUAUUUUGAAAUGGACUUGGUUAGGCUAUUGCAAAUCUGCUGAUCAAACCAGGCACAGCAAGAGAGUAGUUCCAAAUAAAAUGAGAUUAGAAGUAGCUGCUGCUUCUUAGUAAAUGAGUUUCUACAAAAAAAGUAAUUGUCAUCUGUUUGCUGCUGCUUUCCUACAGAGAGGAAAACAUGGCAGUGUUAUGGUACAAAGCAAAAAAACAUUUCUAGAUCUAGUUGAGCGGUUGAUAGCAAGCUUUGUGCAGCUGAUUGGCAUAGGCAAAGAAAAACAUGUUCAGCGCUGCAUUGGCAAAGGAUAUGCAAUUAAUGACUUACAAUCCAGACUCAGCCUCCUGAGCACAAUUUACUUGGCUUGCCACCUCAUGCUCACGUUUUCUUCCUGAGAACCCCUUGGGUAAGGACACGUGUCCCACAUUAUGGCAUGAGGAGGUGUUUCCUGUACAUUUGCCCUUGGGUUAAGUCCUCCUAUCAACCUGGCUGACAGCAGCUAUUUAAUUAUUUUGGGGAAUAAAUGGAGGAAUUGAAGAUAAUCAAACAAGCCGGUAGCUGAAAUGUUCUCUUCUGUUAAAAAACUUUAAAACUCGUGUGUUUCAGCACUUGUGAACAUAAAGCAUCUCUGAAGAACAAACACAAGUAGGUCAUAACAGCAUGUGAGUCUUAGUUGAUGGAUGCUCACAUCUCACAGAUGUAACAGUUUAGUCCAGUUUUAAAAGUAUCUCAAAAAGUGCAAAGUCUGCAAGGCACUGUGGAAAGCGAAUUGAUUUCUUGUCUCUAAAGGAAGUUCUGCCACAUGGCAGCUGUGGAGCAAAAUGUAGGCCCCUGCAGCUCCUCCUGUGCCUAGAAGGCCGCAAUCGCAAUUCCCAUAUUCCUGUGCUGCUGAUGGUGGUGUGGGCAGAGGUGGCCUUCUGCUGUGUUUAGAUACUAGUAAAUGCUGUGCUACCCCUCCUGUGGCCCUGUGGGAGCUGGAAGCACUGUACAAUGCAAUCUUCCCUCGGACUGCCCCAUUCUGCCUCCCAGGCCAGGCUUAGGGAGCUGGUGAUGAUAUCGCUGCCCAGACAUUUGCUGCGUGAAGACUCUCUAUACAGAAAGCAUUUUGGCAGCCGCUACCACAGUCCUCUCAGGAGCAAGCUGCAGCUCUGUCUGCAGUUCCAAAGCCGCCCAUGUUUCCAUCCCCUCCAAGUUUCAACACAAGCUCAAUUCACUGUCUAACCUGUAUUUGUGCUUUUGUGUUUUCGGACCUACUGUGGUGCCUCAGCGCAGCCCACAGCCCGAGGGCGGGCCGUAUGGCGGCAGGGGCAGCGGGGCGCCGCGCGCAGGUCGGGCGGCGGGGAGGCGGUGCUGGAAGGUUGCUGCCGGCUGCCCGCCCCAGCGCGGCCGGAGGGAGUCGUCUCGCAGCGGGUGCUUUCUUUAAGGUUUGUUCAUUUGUUUAUUUUCUCCAGUGACUAAGCAUCUAAUUUGAAUCAACUGUGGGAGAAGAGAGGAUUGAAGGGAAAAGAGCUCAUCCUUGGAGUCGAGCUAUUCCUUCAGGGUGAAGGGCCGGAGGAAAGAAGUUCAGCAGAUGAGGCCCAUUCUGAUUCAAGACUAACUCCUACCCUGGAAUGAGCAGAGAUGAGUCCUACAAGCCUUUCAUCUGCACCAUCCACCCUGUGUGAGGAAAUUCUGACAUCACUCUACCCAACAAGGCCAGGAAGAGAUAAAGACAGCAAACCCUGAUUAAAAAAAAAAAAAGAGAACUGAAUGGAUGCUGAGCAGGACAGACUUGAAUAUGGGGAAUUUCUUGUAGAACAGAGAUGGGCAGAUGUGGAGAUGCAGACAGGACAGAAGAAAUCUCAGUAAAUACAUGUGAUUGUCAGCUAUGCUACUCUCCCUCACUCACUAAAGAUAAGGCACGGGGUGGCCACCUACUAAUCUUUGAUUCUGUUCCUGCUUGGCACACUAGCUCUUUCCAUGUUCUUUUUGCUCUGUACACAAAGGAAUUUGAAGUAUGAGAAACAGAAGUAACUGUUUUUUUUCACUGCUUCCCUGAUAGUCCAUCUGGUGAGGGAAAAAGGAGAAACAGGAGUGUUCUCUGUCACUCCCGAAGUUGUGUCAGCAAUCACACUUCUGCUUUCAGUCUUUACAAAAAAGCCUGGAGUCCUUACUGUGCAUAAAGGCAGAAGACAUGAACGACGCCCUCUGCCCCACAGGCUGACAGCCUCUGAAGUGGUGUGCACCAAAUGUGGGCUACCUCAACCCAUUUUCAAAUGGGUUUAUAAAGUGCUACGCAAAACACCCACAGAAGUACCUAAGACUGGUUUUAAUCCAUGCUUAACCCAUUUCCUUUUGGCUCUGACAGCCAUGUGCCAACUUCUGCACUGAUGCCUGGCACAGCAUUGAGAGCUUUCGCUGUCACUGUGAUACAGCACAAUUCUCCUUCCCUGACUGAAAUCCAAGCAAACAGCUUCUAGGAACAUGAGAAUUACUGAACUUUUCCUUCAGAGAAAGGUGUAAGGAGUUCAAGCUUGCAGUAGACCUUGUUUGGAUUUUCUCAAAUAGGAUAAUAUCACUAAAAUAGAAAAGCCUUCAGAAACAGUUAAAUUAACAUGAUAAACCUCUAUCACUGGAUAUGCUGCAUACCCCAUUUACUGCUCUUACAAACACUCUCCCCCCUUUGUUGAACCUGGAUUCACCAAGGAUUCACCAUUUUGCCAAAAACAUGCAAUGUGCCCUGAGUUAAAUUAAAAAUAAAAAUUCACCGUUCCCUUGCUUUCAAGCAACCCUUGCAAAACACUGUCUUCAAACAGAACAAAAAUGCUACCUUGUAAUAGAAAGGGGCAAUCUUUCAUGUAAAGACUAAUAAAGAUAAAGACUAAUAUGUUCCUUUUAUGGGUCGCAGUAUCACCUCCUAAAAAUCUGUGGACUGGUCUACUUUGUGCGAUUACCUUUAACCAAUAAAAUUGUUUGAAAGGAACAUCCAUCUCUCUCAGAAGUUUAACUGGAACACGACCCUGCUGUGUAUUCACUACAUUGCCUUUUCAGCCAUUGUAAAUUUACUAUUUGGUCUUGAAGAGAUCGCUGUGGACACACAGGGUAUUUUUCUUUCCAUUUUCAAAGAAACGAAUCUGACAUCAAUGCACAGUUGAUACUAAUAAAGGCUGAACAAUCAUGUAAUCAACUCCAUAUUUUGAAGUGACAAAGGUUCAGUCAAAGCCAUCAAGAAUCAAACUGUGUAUGUUGUAGAGGAGAGAAUCUUGGGAUGCCUAAGACAGCUUCCAAAGGAUGUAUGUAUAUCUUCCAAAUUUACUAUGGGGCCUUGUAAAUCUACACACCUCACCAGAAGGUCAUUAUCUGCUCACCCCCUCUUCCAGUAGAUGCAACUGUUUGGUUUCAGGACAUCUGCAAUGUUGUGUGUUCCUAGGCCAAGGCUGAAUUGCUAAUCAAGCUCUGUCAUGACAGUGUUCUGGUUUGGUGUUGUUUUUUUUUUUUAACUUGUUUUUGCUUGUUUGUUUUGUUGUUGUUGUCUGUUUGUUUGUUUUCUUUUAAGAGCUAUGUCACUCUUAACAGACAGCAACUGUAUACACAUCCUUGGUUAUCACAGCUCAAUUUAAAAUAGAGGCACUUCCCU
Long non-coding RNA from Lagopus muta (rock ptarmigan), 3663 nucleotides. RefSeq lists it as uncharacterized. The record is from RefSeq and is a predicted model, not a curated record. Lineage: Eukaryota; Metazoa; Chordata; Aves; Galliformes; Phasianidae. The transcript has 3 exons.